CCUACGGGUGGCUGCAGUGGGGAAUAUUGCACAAUGGGCGCAAGCCUGAUGCAGCCAUGCCGCGUGUGUGAAGAAGGCCUUCGGGUUGUAAAGCACUUUCAGCGGGGAGGAAGGCGGUGAGGUUAAUAACCUCAUCGAUUGACGUUACCCGCAGAAGAAGCACCGGCUAACUCCGUGCCAGCAGCCGCGGUAAUACGGAGGGUGCAAGCGUUAAUCGGAAUUACUGGGCGUAAAGCGCACGCAGGCGGUCUGUCAAGUCGGAUGUGAAAUCCCCGGGCUCAACCUGGGAACUGCAUACGAAACUGGCAGGCUAGAGUCGUGUAGAGGGGGGUAGAAUUCCAGGUGUAGCGGUGAAAUGCGUAGAGAUCUGGAGGAAUACCGGUGGCGAAGGCGGCCCCCUGGACAAAGACUGACGCUCAGGUGCGAAAGCGUGGGGAGCAAACAGGAUUAGAUACCCCGGUAGUC
Molecule: ribosomal RNA, 465 nt
Filed under: uncultured Klebsiella sp.
Lineage: Bacteria; Pseudomonadati; Pseudomonadota; Gammaproteobacteria; Enterobacterales; Enterobacteriaceae
Description: bacterial SSU rRNA
Rfam family: Bacterial small subunit ribosomal RNA
Source: RNAcentral